GGGGCCCGCACAAGCGGUGGAGCAUGUGGUUCAAUUUGACGCAACGCGAAGAACCUUACCUGGGCUCGAAAUGUAGUGGAAUGGGGUGGAAACAUCCCCGUCUCGCAAGAGACUGCUAUAUAGGUGCUGCAUGGCUGUCGUCAGCUCGUGUCGUGAGAUGUUGGGUUAAGUCCCGCAACGAGCGCAACCCUUAUCCCUAGUUGCCAUCGGGUCAAGCCGGGCACUGUAGUGAAACCGCCCCGGAUAACGGGGAGGAAGGUGGGGAUGACGUCAAGUCCUCAUGGCCUUUAUGUCCAGGGCUACACACGUGCUACAAUGGUCGGUACAAACCGUCGCAAACCGGCGAGGGGGAGCUAAUCGGAAAAAGCCGGCCUCAGUUCGGAUUGGAGUCUGCAACCCGACUCCAUGAAGCUGGAAUCGCUAGUAAUCGCGGAUCAGAACGCCGCGGUGAAUACGUUCCCGGGCCUUGUACACACCGCCCGUCACAUCACGAAAGUGGACUGCACUAGAAGCCGGCGUGCUAACCGCAAGGAGGCAACCGUCCAAGGUAUGGUUCAUGAUUGGGGUGAAGUCGUAACAAGGUAACCGUA
This 590-nucleotide ribosomal RNA is filed under the name uncultured bacterium. RNAcentral's name for it is "bacterial SSU rRNA". It matches the Rfam family "Bacterial small subunit ribosomal RNA", at positions 916 to 1504 of the family's 1533-position model. The record is from RNAcentral.